CCCUUAGAGUUUGAUCCUGGCUCAGAGCGAACGCUGGCGGCGUGCUUAACACAUGCAAGUCGAGCGAGAAAGGGGGCUUCGGCCCCUGAGUACAGCGGCGAACGGGUGCGUAAUACAUGAGCAAUCUACCCUUGAGGCGGGAAUAACCCAGCGAAAGUUGGGCUAAUACCGGAUAAGACCACGAGAGGAAACUCUCGGGGCCAAAGGUAGCUCUCUUUUGGGGGCUGCCCUUCGGGGAGGGGCUCAUGUCCUAUCAGCUAGUUGGUAGGGUAACGGCCUACCAAGGCGAAGACGGGUAGCUGGUCUUAGAGGAUGAUCAGCCACACGGGGACUGAGACACGGCCCCGACUCCUACGGGAGGCAGCAGUGGGGAAUAUUGGGCAAUGGGCGCAAGCCUGACCCAGCGACGCCGCGUGGGUGAUGAAGGCCUUCGGGUCGUAAAGCCCUGUCGGGAGGAAAGAACGAUCGUGUGGGGAAUACCCGCGCGAUGUGACGGUACCUCCGAAGGAAGCACCGGCCAAUUCCGUGCCAGCAGCCGCGGUAAGACGGAAGGUGCAAGCGUUGCUCGGAAUCACUGGGCGUAAAGGGUGCGUAGGCGGCUUCUUAAGUCUGGUGUGAAAGCCCAGGGCUCAGCCCUGGAAGUGCACUAGAAACUGGGGAGCUUGAGUACCGGAGGGGGAGAGUGGAAUUCCUGGGUGUAGCGGUGAAAUGCGUAGAUAUCAGAGGAAUACCGGUGGCGAAAGCGACUCUCUGGACGUUACUGACGCUGAGCACGAAAGCGUGGGGAGCAAACAGAUAGAUACCCUGGUAGUCACGCCGUAAC
Molecule: ribosomal RNA, 823 nt
Filed under: uncultured bacterium
Lineage: Bacteria
Description: bacterial SSU rRNA
Rfam family: Bacterial small subunit ribosomal RNA
Source: RNAcentral